GGUUAAGCGACUAAGCGUACACGGUGGAUGCCCUGGCAGUCAGAGGCGAUGAAGGGCGUGCUAAUCUGCGAUAAGCGCCGGUAAGGUGAUAUGAACCGUUAUAACCGGCGAUACCCGAAUGGGGAAACCCAGUGUGACUCGUCACACUAUCAUUAACUGAAUCCAUAGGUUAAUGAGGCGAACCGGGGGAACUGAAACAUCUAAGUACCCCGAGGAAAAGAAAUCAACCGAGAUUCCCCCAGUAGCGGCGAGCGAACGGGGAGGAGCCCAGAGCCUGAAUCAGCAUGUGUGUUAGUGGAAGCGUCUGGAAAGGCGCGCGAUACAGGGUGACAGCCCCGUACACAAAAGCGCAUGUGCUGUGAGCUCGAUGAGUAGGGCGGGACACGUGGUAUCCUGUCUGAAUAUGGGGGGACCAUCCUCCAAGGCUAAAUACUCCUGACUGACCGAUAGUGAACCAGUACCGUGAGGGAAAGGCGAAAAGAACCCCGGCGAGGGGAGUGAAAAAGAACCUGAAACCGUGUACGUACAAGCAGUGGGAGCCCCACCACCAAAGCAUUUGCUGUACCGCGUUGACGGAGCGAAGCGACGUCAAACCGAUAAAACAGCAGUGUAAAGUGAGCCGCAGGGCGCUUUGCGCGACAGC
RNAcentral lists this ribosomal RNA (643 nucleotides) under Salmonella enterica subsp. enterica serovar Enteritidis. RNAcentral's name for it is "partial 23S ribosomal RNA". It matches the Rfam family "Bacterial large subunit ribosomal RNA", at positions 1 to 600 of the family's 2925-position model. Lineage: Bacteria; Pseudomonadati; Pseudomonadota; Gammaproteobacteria; Enterobacterales; Enterobacteriaceae. The record is from RNAcentral.